CCUACGGGCGGCAGCAGUGGGGGAUAUUGGACAAUGGGGGAAACCCUGAUCCAGCGACGCCGCGUGAGUGAAGAAGUAUCUCGGUAUGUAAAGCCCUAUCAGCCGGGAAGAAAGAACUGACGGUACCUGAGUAAGAAGCCCCGGCUAACUACGGGCCAGCAGCCGCGGUAAUACGUAGGGGGCAGGCGAUAUCCGGAAUUACCGGGGUGAAGGGGAGCGUAUACGGUAAUGCAAGUCUGGAGUGAAAGGCGGGGGCCCAACCCCCGGAGUGCUCUGGAAACUGUGUAACUGGAGUGCAGGAGAGGCAGGCGGAAUUCCUAGUGUAGCGGUGAAAUGCGUAGAUAUUAGGAAGAACACCGGUGGCGAAGGCGGCCUGCUGGACUGUAACUGACGUUGAGGCUCGAAAGCGUGGGGAGCGAACAGGAUUAGAUACCCCAGUAGUC
This 443-nucleotide ribosomal RNA is filed under the name uncultured bacterium. Its description in RNAcentral is "partial 16S ribosomal RNA". It matches the Rfam family "Bacterial small subunit ribosomal RNA", at positions 338 to 795 of the family's 1533-position model. The record is from RNAcentral.